RNAcentral lists this long non-coding RNA (675 nucleotides) under Anser brachyrhynchus (Pink-footed goose). RNAcentral's name for it is "lncRNA (ENSABRG00000006781.1)". Lineage: Eukaryota; Metazoa; Chordata; Aves; Anseriformes; Anatidae. The record is from RNAcentral.
ACCGGAGCCCUGCUCAGUUUUGAGCACAAAGACAGCCUAUCAUUUGUCUUUUAGGCUUCUACUGAGGGGUAUUGAUGCUGUCCAAACAUCCAUAGAUCUAUGCACAGCUAUGUUUGUGUUUUAGAAAUGAUUGAUGCUGCUUAGCAAUGCAGUGGUAAUUAUUAUAGGGAGAAGGGGGUCUUGCGAACAUUCCCUAUGUGUUGACAUGAAGUUCCAAAAUCUCUCUCUCUAAGAUACCUUUUUCUCUGAAAAGCUGCAAACUGGUUGCUAUUGGGCUUGGUGUAUAGGAUCACCUGGACAACGCUGACGAUGGCCACAUUCCAAUUCUAGCACAAUUCUGCUUUGAGAGGACCAGCAGUCCCUUCUCCUCAUGGGCUGGUACUGUUUCAGAUUCAGGAGGACCCUCUUCAUCUGCUGUACUCCAGGCUGGCCAUGGGUUCAGUAUUUCCCUUUUCCCGUGAAUGAUUUUUUUACUCAAAAGUGUUCAUUUUGACCAGAAACCUCUCACCACAAAACUGCUAGUACUGGAAAACAGGACUGUAGAUGAAGGAGCACACAGUUUUGCAGCAUGGUUUUACACCCCUCUCAGCUGAAUGUGACACCAACCCCAAAUCUACCCGUCCUGACCACUGUUACAGCUUGUGGCUACAGCUGGAACAGUUCCCCCAAGACAAA